GAUGAACGCUGGCGGCGUGCCUAAUACAUGCAAGUCGAGCGAACAGACGAGGAGCUUGCUCCUCUGACGUUAGCGGCGGCCGGGUGAGUAACACGUGGAUCACCUACCUAUAAGACUGGGAUCACCUCGGGAAACCGGAGCUAAUACCGGAUAAUCUAUUCAACCGCAUGGUUCAAUAGUGACAGACGGUUUUGCUGUCACUUAUAGCUGGAUCCGCGCCGCAUUAGCUAGUUGGUAAGGUAACGGCUUACGAAGGCAACGAUGCGUAGCAGACAUGAGAGAAUGAGCAGACACACUGGAACUGAGACACGGUCCAGACUCCUACGGGAGGCAGCAGUAGGGAAUCUUCCGCAAUGGGCGAAAGCCUGACGGAGCAACGCCGCGUGAGUGAUGAAGGUCUUCGGAUCGUAAAACUCUGUUAUUAGGGAAGAACAAAUAUGUAUGUAACUAUGCACGUCUUGACGGUACCUAAUCAGAAAGCCACGGCUAACCUCGUG
RNAcentral lists this ribosomal RNA (497 nucleotides) under uncultured bacterium. Its description in RNAcentral is "partial 16S ribosomal RNA". It matches the Rfam family "Bacterial small subunit ribosomal RNA", at positions 28 to 507 of the family's 1533-position model. The record is from RNAcentral.